UUUUUACACGGGAGAAAAAUUCACAGGCAUGGGGGAAGGAAAUUUUGGGGGGAAACAAAAAGAAAAAAAACUAAACCUAAAAAACCCAUCUGCAGCCGCCCCUUCUCCUUCGAAAAAAAAAACCGGCCCCCCUCCCCUUUGAUCUUCUUCUCCCAGCACCAAGCAGCUGCUGCCAUUCCCUUCCGUUGGCCAAAAACAGAGAGAGGAGAGAACCCCAUCCCCCAACGCCAGCUUCCUUCUCCGUUGGCCCGACUAAGGCUCCCUUUAUAUAAAAAAAACCCUUUUUCUCCCCGAGAGCCGCCCCAGACGAUUUUCUUCCUCAGCCACAGCGCUGACCUCUCUUUUUUGAAAAAAAAGGAGGAGCAGGCCGCCUCUCCCUUGGAAAAAGAAAGAACCCAGCGUCGCCUGCCUUCUUUUGAUUUUCCAGCUCCAUUUGGUCUCCCCUCUUUCCCUGUUGAACCGGCUGGCCCCUCUCCCUCACAAAACCCAGAAGAGCGUCAGCCGCCAGCUCUCCUGGCCAAGCUACAGCCGCCUCCCUCCCUUGAGAAAGAAAAUCUAGAGAAACCCCUGCUUUGGGGGGGCUUUUGAUUUCCAGCUUCUUCCUCCCUUCAGCCGGGUAAGUCCCCCUCGUCCUCUGUCAAAAACGAGCCUUCACCCGAACCCCAGAUCAGUCCUUCCCUCUCAACACAGAACAGCCUCGCCCUCAACAAACAGCCCCAUCUUCCUCGACCAGAGAACGGGCAGGGCCGUUCCCCGUCUCUUCAGACCCACGGUCUUCCUCACCGGCAGCAGCAGUCCUUCCUCCAGCGGUGCCUAUAGAAGCGGCCUCAUCUCCGACCGAGAAUCAAUGGCCGGAACUGCAACCAGAGAGAAGCAGAUCCGAAACGGAGAAAAAUGGAAAGAGGCGCAGAUCUGAAAAUAAAGGAAACAAAAUAAAACCGACUGCUUGUGGUUUUUUUUUUCGUUGCAGGUCACGGUGUAAGCCACCACGGGCUGGGAACAGAAGAGAAGGGGAAACCGUUCUAGAGCCCCCUGCUUGCUGGACUUUCCAGCGGCGGCGCGAGAACCCAAGCGCCGCCAGUUACGGUGGCGCGUGGGAGGACGCGCCGCCACGAUUACAGCUCCCACGCGCCGCCACGAUUACAGCAGAUCCCAGAAGGCUUUCCAACAGUUUCUGGAUUUUUUUUUGGGUUUAUUUUGUAAUUUUUAAAUUGUAUUUGAUAUUUUUGUUAUUUUUUUUGUACAUGUAAAAAGGGGAUGUAUAAGAAAAAUAAUAAAAAAAGAGAUGGGUGUGUGUGUGUUUGUAAU
RNAcentral lists this long non-coding RNA (1308 nucleotides) under Populus tremula. Its description in RNAcentral is "long non-coding RNA (PTRE_LNC003294)". Lineage: Eukaryota; Viridiplantae; Streptophyta; Magnoliopsida; Malpighiales; Salicaceae. The record is from RNAcentral.